Molecule: long non-coding RNA, 2759 nt
Organism: Oreochromis aureus
Lineage: Eukaryota; Metazoa; Chordata; Actinopteri; Cichliformes; Cichlidae
Exons: 4
Source: RefSeq, a predicted model, not a curated record
AAGAAAAAAAAAAAAGUCAUCCACCCUCCCACUGGGUGUGGUUUGCUUCUAAUAUAGUCGACUGUGAUCGUGACUAGGCGUUUCACUUCUUGAAGCUGAGCACUGAGUUUACAUCUCAGCAGCUGCAAACCAUGGCCACAGUCACUGUUGAAUACUGUAAAGGAUGAAGUUAUGCUUUUCGCUACCGGGAUCUAGCUGGUCUCCUCCGGCAGGUUCCUGGUGUGAAAGUAACAGGACUCACAGGAGAAGACGACAGUUUUGAGGUGUCAGUGAAUGGUGAGCUAAUCUACUCCAAGCUGAAGACGGGAGAGUUUCCUGAUAAUGAAGAGCUGACAGAGAAGGUGAGAGCGAUGGUUCCAAACACGAAAGGAACGAAAAAGAACUGGAAACAGAGAUGCUCUACCCAAUAGGAGAUGGAGGAUGAAACGCCAGCUGUAUUUGCACUGACAGACUGAUGUUCUUAUUUGUUUGUGUUUCCUUGUUCUCUAUCCAAAGAAAUUAACAUAAGCAUCAAAGAAAGGGACGUUAACACAUUUUGUUAAUUAAAAGUGUCACAGAUCAGACAACUUGUUUGCUGUGAAUGCACACACAGAUGAGAUGCUGAUGGGAGCCCAUCAGAGGUCCUGACUGCUGAUCUGCGCUCCUGUUUAUGAAUGCACACACUAAAAACUGCAUGUGGUGUGUGCACGAUGCCACUGGAGAAGCUUUUCAGCUGACAUUGGCCUGAAGAUGUGCUCUCAUCAGGUCUGUCUAGCACAGGUUAUUAAUAAACUUAUCUAAGUUUAGUUUACAUUCAUCAUUUGGAUUUUCCCUUUUUAGAUAAACAAAAACAUUGUUUCUGUGCCUUGAAUAGAAUAAUUGUGAAUGAGGAGACUGAUGUCACUCAUAUGUACCUGCCUUAGGAUAGCGCACACAGGUGAACAGCACCUUGGGUAGCCCCUUGAUUAUUAUGCUUGUUUAAUAGAAACUUCAAUUUAUGAGAAAACGAGUGUCAUGUUUUAACGCUGAGCUGCACGUCAGCUGUUACAAAAUGGUUUUUUGAACACUGUCGAAUACUCGCAGACUGUUUUAAUUCAGAUCUGCUGCUGUGGUCUCUGCACACUUCCUGUCGUCUGUGGUGCUCUGCAUAUAUUCCUGAAGCGCUAUAUAGUAAAUGUGUCAAGCAAACAGGAAGUGCAGUUGAGUUUUAAAUAGUUUUGAAGUGUAGCUGAAAAAGUGUAGCUGAAAAAAACACACAUUUUAUCACAUCUUUGAAAUGUGCACAAAGAUCCGAUCAUCACAGUUUUGUGCCCCAUAGUGUAUUGUGUGAAAAAACAAACAAACAUGAAAGAUGGGUUAAGCUAACUAGCGGCUAGCUGCAGCUUCACAGUGAUGGUGCAGACAUGAGAGUGACAUCCAUCUCCUAAUCCAGUAGGUCUCAAACCUCUUUCUAGCGUGCCACAAAUCUCACAACAGUUUAACAUUCAUUAAGAAUAAGACAUAUCUAAGCUGAAUUUCACUUAAAAUAAGCUUCAGAUUAGCAUUUGUAGCAUUAGCAGCCUCAGCAGCACUUUAUAAUAAUGUCACACUAUUAACCAUUAAUAUAGCAUGGUGAGAUAUUAGAAGUGUUUAAUUCAUCAUUUAUAUAGCAUUAUCUGCCGUGGUAUGUCAUUUAUAUACAGAAAUGUUUAUCCAUCUGUUACUGUUACCCUUGUAUAGCUAACACUGCUACUACUUCACUGCUAACAAUAAUCACAGUCAUAAUAAUAUAUGUGCAUUUAUAAAUGGCAUGCUAAGGAGGAGCAAUGCUUCAUAAAUGAUGAAUUAAGCACUUGCUAAUACCUUAAUAAUGCUUAAUAGUGUGACAUUAUUAUUAAGUGCUACCACAAACUGUCUGUUUAUCCCCUCCCCCUCUCAACUGGCCACCCUUGCCACACAAUAGUGCCCUGCCGCACUGUUUGAGAAACACUGUAACAUUACCUGAUAAGCAAGAGAAGUUUCAAGAGUUGAAUAGUUUUUCUUUUUUAUCUUUCUUUUAUUUAGUGAGCCUUCCAUUGUAACAUUUUUAAAGAAGCUGAGAUAACAUGAGAUACUUCGUGAACUUUUUUUUUUUUUCUAGCAGGUAUUUUAUUUUAAUGAUAUGUCAUGUAUAUGUUUUAUACUUUGCCACAUAUAAAAAAGCACAUGGGACUAUUAUUUUGAUAGACCUGCGUGGUGAGUGCACUGUCAUCUAAAGGUUUUAGACAGAUUUUGAAUUAGUGACACGUAUUUAAUAUAUUUUUCAAACACAUUAGCUUUGUUGUUCAUGUUUGCAGCUCUCUUUUUUUCAAAAAUGAAAUAAAAACAAAGAAAUCACUGUUCAAUCUCUGAUUUGCUUGACUGAAGCGAUUUUCACACCACUCAGUGGUAAGUUGUUUGUUAAAAAGGCUGCAGAGGCCUAGCUGUACCCGGGCUGAUGUCAUCCGCAGGAUAAUAUUAUCAGUCACUGCAAUGAAAGGAAAAACUUUCUCAGCUGACUGUCAUAUGUGAUAAAUGAUAAAUGAUAUUAGUCUAAAUAUACACAAGCUGUGUUAUGUGAUAUAUUUGUUUAUAUAUGAUACAGCAAACCAAAAAAACCCAUAUAUUUAAAUAUUUUAUGACUUUUUAAAAAUCUUAUUGUAUUAUACACAUUCAACCCUGAAAUGAAGCAUUAUCAAAGUAAAGUCUCACUAUUGUCAUUUUUUAAAUGUUGUCUUUGUUUUCCACUGUGCGAAAGGAUUAAAUCUAAAGCUUCGCCUCUC